UGGCAAACCCGCCGAAAGGCGGCGACGCAAAGCUAAAGGGCCUGUAUGGAUGAUGGCAGCCAGCUGC
RNAcentral lists this non-coding RNA (67 nucleotides) under uncultured Flavonifractor sp. RNAcentral describes it as "Cyclic di-GMP-I riboswitch". It matches the Rfam family "c-di-GMP-I riboswitch aptamer", at positions 11 to 83 of the family's 87-position model. Rfam says of the family: GEMM was predicted in a large-scale screen for bacterial structured RNA regulatory elements. Genes associated with GEMM are involved in a diverse array of functions, including chemotaxis regulation, signal transduction, secretion and chitin. The record is from RNAcentral. Lineage: Bacteria; Bacillati; Bacillota; Clostridia; Eubacteriales; Oscillospiraceae.